This 227-nucleotide ribosomal RNA is filed under the name uncultured bacterium. RNAcentral describes it as "partial 16S ribosomal RNA". It matches the Rfam family "Bacterial small subunit ribosomal RNA", at positions 591 to 819 of the family's 1533-position model. The record is from RNAcentral.
GAUGUGAACUCCCUCGGCUUAACCGAGGAACUGCAUCCGACACUGUUUAUCUUGAGAGCCCACCAGGAGAGUGGAACUCCAUGUGUACCGCUGGAAUGCCUAGAUAUUUGGAACAACACCAGUGCCCAAGGUUGCUCUCUGGUCUGCAACUGACGCUCAGGCUCGCAAGCAUGGCCACCGAACUUUUUAGAUACUCUGGUAGUCCUGCGGUACACAAGGAGUGCUAA